RNAcentral lists this long non-coding RNA (1167 nucleotides) under Oryctolagus cuniculus (rabbit). Its description in RNAcentral is "lncRNA (ENSOCUG00000037535.1)". Lineage: Eukaryota; Metazoa; Chordata; Mammalia; Lagomorpha; Leporidae. The record is from RNAcentral.
GGCAAUAUUAGGUUGGGCGAGCUCCAUCUCCUGUCCCCUAAGGGUUCAGCCUCUGAUGCUGCCCCCCCAGGGAGCAACAGCUCUGUGGUGACAGUGGUACUGAUGGGGGCCCCUCCCACCGCGAACACCCCCUGCUGUUUUCAGUAGUGUGGGCUAAUUGCAAACUAUGUUUUCCAAGGCAUCCUUUCUUGUGAUUUCUGGAGUUUGAGCUGACCUGGAGAGGACUCCUCCCAGCAGUCUGGCUUUGCGUGGUCCUCGCCUGUGCCCGGCCAGCCGGAUCUGCAUCAGGUCCAUGAGUUGCCUCCGCCUGCUUGUCACCACCACCUCUCCUCUCCUAAACAAGUCCUUAGGUUUCAACUUCACUCAUCCUUUGGGAGGAGCCGGGAGCUCUCUGUCUUCCUGCCUGUGUCUGUUUGCAGGCCUGAUCCACGGGCCAGGGCUCUGGAGCUGGGCCGGGCAGCGAGGCUUCCUUCUGCUGAGCACCAUGGCCGCAGCCGUGUCCUCAGCAGGGCGCUCCAGCCCUGGAUCCACAGCCUGCCACGGCGAGGGCCCGGCCUCUGGGACACACACAGCCCUGGGUGUGCAGCCUGCCACGGCGAGGGCCCGGCCUCUGGGACACGCACAGCCCUGGGUGUGCAGCCUGCCACGGCGAGGGCCCGGCCUCUGGGACGCGCACAGCCCUGGGUGCGCAGCCUGCCACAGCGAGGGCCCGGCCUCUGGGACGCGCACAGCCCUGGGUGUGCAGCCUGCCACAGCAAGGGCCCGGCCUCUCGGACACGCACAGCCCUGGGUGCGCAGCCUGCCAUGGCGAGGGCCCGGCCUCUGGGACGCGCACAGCAGGUGGAACAGCAGCGGCAGCAGGGGACAGGUCAUCAGGGGAAGCCCCCCCCCGGUGUGGGCCAGGUGACAGGGACGCCGCCUGGGCUGCUGCGGUCUGCAGACCCCGUUCCAAGCUGCCGAAGCCCUCCUGCCCGGAGUCUGUGUGUCUUCCCCAGGGUGACGACACACAGAAGAAAGACUGUUCUGGAAGAAUAGUGAAUCCAAGUGGCCGUCGCUCAUCAUACCCAUGAUGCCCCACCAGAGCUCUGUCCAUCACCUUCUCUACCCUGGAAAUAGCGGCUCUCAAGAAAAAAUAAACAUUUUAAGUCUCACGGUUUUCCCGUGGAC